CCCUUCCCUAUGGCUCAACCUGACACCAGGAUUUAUUGCUUUCAUUUUAAUAGGUUAAUUACUUUGACAGGUACAGGUGGGGCUGAUCUCCCCUGAUGGACGGGCAGCUCCUGGAAGGCAGGGCUGUGCUGAUUGAUGCCUGGGGCCCACUCCUAGCACCAAGUCAGUGCCUCACUCCAUAGACCCGUCAGUGGGAUCUUCAGGAGGGGUAGAAGGUCUAGAUUUCAGGCUUCCCAGCCCGGCCUGCUCAGCACUCAAUUGUAUGACUACCCUAUUUCAUAAAUAUGGAAAUAUCCAUCUUACAGUUGUAGCUGUUGUGAGG
RNAcentral lists this long non-coding RNA (322 nucleotides) under Homo sapiens (human). Its description in RNAcentral is "HSALNT0174801". Lineage: Eukaryota; Metazoa; Chordata; Mammalia; Primates; Hominidae. The record is from RNAcentral.